Molecule: long non-coding RNA, 570 nt
Organism: Xenia sp. Carnegie-2017
Lineage: Eukaryota; Metazoa; Cnidaria; Anthozoa; Malacalcyonacea; Xeniidae
Exons: 2
Source: RefSeq, a predicted model, not a curated record
UCAGUGUUGACAUUACGAGGUGCGAGGAGAUCAUCUGGUUUUGGGUAGUCCUGAUGAAAUAACAUUGAGUUUAAAGAGACAAAAUUUUCCAAACGUACGCCAUGCCUACGGUAAAGUUCGUCAAAAAACUGUGGCUUGAAAUGGUAAGCAAGUCCACUAACUUCAGGAAUGGCUGCCUCUUCUUUCGUUCCAUGAUUGAUUAAGUUGAGAGUUAAACCAAUUGCUAAACUGCCUAGAUAAAGGAUGGGGAAAAAAUACAAUGAUAAGUAAUACAUUGCAGUUUGGUUCAUGUUUGAAUACAAAAAAAUUAGAAAGAAAUUGUUAUAGUAAUAAUUGUUAUUUUAGGUCAGUUGUUAACAGUCUAAGAGACAAUCAAAGAAUUAAAAAUGUAAUAAAUUAAACAUAGUUUGUCUUGCUCUGUAUUUAACAAAGGUGAUUUUAACUGCACAUAAAUUUUAAUCAUAUGAAAAAUUUCAAAACGCUAUGCAAAUGUAGCAAUACAGAAGAUGAAAAAAUUACUCAAAUAUAAAGCAAUUUUAUAACUUCCUUCAAUAGAAAUAUUGACCAAAA